AUUGAACGCUGGCGGCAGGCCUAACACAUGCAAGUCGAGCGGCAGCACAAGGGAGUUUACUCCUGAGGUGGCGAGCGGCGGACGGGUGAGUAAUGCCUAGGGAUCUGCCCAGUCGAGGGGGAUAACAGUUGGAAACGACUGCUAAUACCGCAUACGCCCUACGGGGGAAAGAGGGGGACCUUUAGGCCUCUCGCGAUUGGAUGAACCUAGGUGGGAUUAGCUAGUUGGUGAGGUAAUGGCUCACCAAGGCGACGAUCCCUAGCUGUUCUGAGAGGAGGAUCAGCCACACUGGGACUGAGACACGGCCCAGACUCCUACGGGAGGCAGCAGUGGGGAAUAUUGCACAAUGGGGGAAACCCUGAUGCAGCCAUGCCGCGUGUGUGAAGAAGGCCUUCGGGUUGUAAAGCACUUUCAGUAGGGAGGAAAGGGUGAGUCUUAAUACGGCUCAUCUGUGACGUUACCUACAGAAGAAGGACCGGCUAACUCCGUGCCAGCCGCCGCAGUAA
This 506-nucleotide ribosomal RNA is filed under the name uncultured bacterium. RNAcentral's name for it is "partial 16S ribosomal RNA". It matches the Rfam family "Bacterial small subunit ribosomal RNA", at positions 30 to 523 of the family's 1533-position model. The record is from RNAcentral.